AUACGGAGGGAGCAAGCGUUAUUCGGAAUCACUGGGCGUAAAGGACGCGUAGGCGGGUUUGUAAGUCAGGUGUGAAAUCCUACAGCUCAACUGUAGAACUGCACUUGAAACUACAGACCUAGAGUAUGGAAGGGGCAGAUGGAAUUAGUGGUGUAGGGGUAAAAUCCGUAGAUAUCACUAGGAAUACCGAAAGCGAAGGCGAUCUGCUGGGACAUUACUGACGCUGAGGCGUGAGAGCGUGGGGAGCAAACAGGAUUAGAUACCCUAGUAGUCC
This 274-nucleotide ribosomal RNA is filed under the name uncultured bacterium. RNAcentral describes it as "partial 16S ribosomal RNA". It matches the Rfam family "Bacterial small subunit ribosomal RNA", at positions 523 to 796 of the family's 1533-position model. The record is from RNAcentral.